GAUGAACGCUAGCGGCAGGCUUAACACAUGCAAGUCGAGGGGCAGCACAGGUGGCAACACCGGGUGGCGACCGGCGUAAGGGUGCGUAACACGUGAGCAACAUACCCGUAUCUGGAGGAUAACCGGAGGAAACUCUGCCUAAUACUCCAUAAUAUCAUCGUACGGCAUCGUUUGGUGAUUAAAGAUUUAUCGGACACGGAUUGGCUCGCGGGACAUUAGCUUGUUGGAGGGGUAACGGCCCACCAAGGCUUCGAUCAGUAGCCGGUCUGAGAGGAUGAACGGCCACACUGGGACUGAGACACGGCCCAGACUCCUACGGGAGGCAGCAGUGGGGAAUCUUCCGCAAUGGACGAAAGUCUGACGGAGCAACGCCGCGUGAGUGAAGAAGGUUUUCGGAUCGUAAAGCUCUUUCGUUAGGGACAACGUGCUCUUUGUGAUAAUGAGGAGUAAUGACGGUACCUAAAUAAGAAGCCAACGGCUAACUACGUGCCAGCAGCCGCGGU
Molecule: ribosomal RNA, 503 nt
Filed under: uncultured bacterium
Lineage: Bacteria
Description: bacterial SSU rRNA
Rfam family: Bacterial small subunit ribosomal RNA
Source: RNAcentral